AAGAGCUUCUGACAAGGCGCUCUUCGCUUGGGAGCGAGGCCGGCGAUGGCGCUUUGCCUUUGGCUGGCGGUGGCCGGGGAAGCCCUGCUUCUCGGGGCGCCAGGCCUGUCCCUCCCUCCGGGCUCUGAGGGCCCCUCACCGGCGGCGCUUGGCUCCUCCUCACACUCCGUGCACUACCUCCACACUGCUGUGUCUGAACCCCCCCUGGGGAGUCCUCAGUACAUCGCAGUGGGAUACCUGGACGGCCACCUCUUUCUUCAGUACGACAGCAUCACCCGGAGAGCGCAGCCUCGAGUGCCCUGGAUGGAGAAGGUGGUGGAAGAGGAUCCGGAAUAUUGGGAGAGGAACACCCAGAUAGAACAGGGCAGUGAGCAGUGGUUCAGAGAGAACCUGGCCGUCCUGAAGCAUCGCUACAACCACAGCGGAGGAUUUCACUCCAUGCAGGAGAUGUAUGGCUGUGAGCUGAAGAGGGACGGGAGCAAAAGAGGAUAUUGGCAGAAUGCCUAUGACGGGAGGGACUACCUCAGCUUCGACACGGAGACCGUCACCUGGACGGCGGCCCUUCCCAAGGCCCAGAUCACCAAAGAGAAGUGGGAGAAUGAUCCUGCCUACGGCCAAAGAAUGAAGGCCUACCUGGAGGGGGAAUGCCUGGAGAAGCUGAAGAGAUUCCUGGACUAUGGGAAGGAGAGGCUGCUGAGGAGAGAGCCCCCAGUAGGGAAGGUGACCCGCAUGUUCCUCUCUGAAGGGAGGGAGAUGCUGGUCUGCCAGGCCCACGGCUUCUACCCCAAGGAGAUCGAAGCCACCUGGAGGAAGGGCGGGGAGAUCAUGGAGCAGGACACCUUCCGGAGGAGCGUCGCUCCCAACUCCGAUGGGACCUACCACGCCUGGCUCAGCAUCGAGAUCAACCCUGAAGACAGAGACCUCUACCGAUGCCACAUCGAUCACACUGGCCUGACUGAGCCUCUGGUCUUGGCCUGGGAAGCGCCUGUGGAGAAACGGUCAUGGGAUCAUGUGGGAGCCAUUGUGGGAAUCGUCGUGUUUGCUCUCCUCCUGAUGGCUGCUGGGAUUGUCUUCUUUCGCAAAGCCAUUUCUGGGGCUUAAAUCAAUCUCUGAGGAUGAACCAAAAUGAAAUCUAGCUCCCCAAAGCUCAAUUCUCAUGGACUGGAAAGCAGCUGAGCACCAUCUAGUCUGGGCGCAAGCAACAGGGAGGACCCUUGUAAAGCAGCGUUAACUGAGUCCUCCAUCACUGGAACCUUAUUUCAGUCGAGUUCAGAAGCAGUUUUUCCUGAGACACUUCUGCACUCUCGCGAGCACCUCUUUCCCCGGCUGGAAACAUUUUAUGCACCGUCCGAUGUGGGAGAGGCCUGCUCGGCAGGGAGGAAACCAACCGAGAAGAAAGGGAAAAGGG
Pogona vitticeps (central bearded dragon) is the source of this 1408-nucleotide non-coding RNA. NCBI's taxonomy places the organism in Eukaryota, Metazoa, Chordata, Lepidosauria, Squamata, Agamidae. The record is from RefSeq and is a predicted model, not a curated record.